This 480-nucleotide ribosomal RNA is filed under the name uncultured Desulfuromonas sp. RNAcentral describes it as "bacterial SSU rRNA". It matches the Rfam family "Bacterial small subunit ribosomal RNA", at positions 27 to 487 of the family's 1533-position model. The record is from RNAcentral. Lineage: Bacteria; Pseudomonadati; Thermodesulfobacteriota; Desulfuromonadia; Desulfuromonadales; Desulfuromonadaceae.
ACUCGUGGGUGAGCACUGGCAGGGGCGCUUUCCAUGCAGUCGAAGCGAGAACCGGCCCUUCGGGGCCGGGGACAGCGGCGAACGGGUGAGUAACACGUGGGUAAUCUGCCCUCGGUUCUGGGAUAGCCCGGGGAAACCCGGAUUAAUACCGGAUAGCCUCUCGAGCCCUCGGGCUCGCGAGAAAAGGUAGCUUCGGCCUCCGACCGAGGAUGAGCCCGCGGCGGAUUAGCUUGUUGGUGGGGUAAUGGCUCACCAAGGCGACGAUCGGUAUCCGGCCUGAGAGGGCGGACGGACACACUGGGACUGAGACACGGCCCAGACUCCUACGGGAGGCAGCAGUGGGGAAUUGUUCGCAAUGGGCGCAAGCCUGACGACGCAACGCCGCGUGGAGGAUGAAGGUCUUCGGAUUGUAAACUCCUGUUGAUCGGGACGAACAACCAUCGGGAUAACACCCCGGAGGUCUGACGGUACCGAUUGAGG